RNAcentral lists this ribosomal RNA (253 nucleotides) under uncultured bacterium. RNAcentral's name for it is "partial 16S ribosomal RNA". It matches the Rfam family "Bacterial small subunit ribosomal RNA", at positions 524 to 776 of the family's 1533-position model. The record is from RNAcentral.
UACGGAGGGGGCCAGCGUUGUUCGGAAUCAUUGGGCGUAAAGGGCGCGUAGGCGGCAGGGUCAGUCAGACGUGAAAGCCCUCGGCUCAACCGAGGAACUGCGUCUGAAACUGCCCUGCUCGAGGCCGGGCGAGGAGAGUGGAAUUCCCAGUGUAGCGGUGAAAUGCGUAGAUAUUGGGAGGAACACCGGUGGCGAAGGCGGCUCUCUGGACCGGUUCUGACGCUGAGGCGCGAAAGCUAGGGUAGCAAACAGG